GCUGAUAGACUACAGUCCGCCCCAGGGCAUGGGGCUUAAACAGAGACUGGCAGUAGACUGAGGCAACAUGGGGAUAGGGAGUGGGGUUUCCCCUGGAGUGGGGAAACCUAGUAAGACUGCAGGAGGCAGAACCCUGAGAUAAGGGCACUGGGGUCCUGGGAGGGACAUGGGGGCCAACGGCCCAUGGAUCACCGGCCUGCAGAGGGCACUCCUGGGUCGAAGAGCUAAUUCCUGAGGACGACCAGCAGGAGGCACUGCAGGGUGCAACCUGUGCUGGAGUUGGGUUUGAUAUAUGUAUAAAAAAGGAUCGAGCUACAUUCUGCUGAUAGGUGUGGGAAUUGUUUAUAUCAGAUGGGACCUUUGGAGAUGCAGGAGUUCAGUGGAGAAGAAAGAAUUCAACUAAGAGGAACAAUCUGAAGAAAGAAUCUUAUUCUCCCUCUUACCCAUAGUCUUUCCUGCACACCCCUCUCCUCAGAGAGCUAACUUAGCUCUGAUGGUGCUAUCCUGCACUACAGUGGAGAAGAAACUCAUCUAAAGGCAGACUAACAUGGACACCAGUGGUUCCUCUAGGGCUGAUCUCUUGCUUCAAUAGCGCACUCCCUACAGCAAAGGCAAUUUCUCUAGUGAAAUCACUGGCUGGAUUGUACUGACAGUACAAAUUAACUAUUCACUAAACCAAAAAGCUGCUCCAGCGGUUUAGAGGAUCUGGCUAAUAAGGACACCUCUCAUCUAUACCUCGAGUCUAGACAGAAAGGAUUUCAAGCAGGAAUGGUCUUGAAAUUUGGGAGACCCCAAGAUAAGGAGACCACCACAGGGAGCAUGUGGCUAUAGGAUUGGGAAGUCCCUGUGCUACUGGACUGACAUUUUCUUAGCCCAUCUUUGAGCAUAACACUGACCUCUUUGCAUCCCUCCACUGCCUCCCCCUUCUCUAUCACAUCAAACAUAAGCUACUUGUCUUCACUUUCAGGGCCCUUCACAGCCAAUCCCCAUGCUAUCUCUCAUUCACUAUCAAGAUGUCAACUCCCACUUCAGAUUAGCCAUGAAGUCAGCCCCUCCAUAGUUGGGGUUGGUCCUGCUUUGAGCUGGGGAUUGGACUAGAUGACCUCCUGAGGUCUCUUCCAACCCUAAUCUUCUAUGAUCAUGCAUUUGUUAAAUUUCCACACAAGUCUUUCCACGCUUUCUUCCACACUGCUCCACACCCAUGGGAGGCACGGUCUUUAAACAUCUGCAAAGCUACCUUGUUCUCCUCCUUCAAACUCUCCCUUGCUGUAAUGCUUACCAAAAACUUGACAAUAGUUAAGCAGCUGGUGUGCAGAGACCACUGCCCACCACACUGACCAAUACUGUCUCAUUGCUUUCCAGUACUCCCCUGGCUGUCUGCAUUGUAUCAUUUGUGGCCUCUUGCCUUAUACUUCGGUGGUAAGCUCUAUUUGUACAGUGCCUAGCACAGUGGGGUCCUGGCGUACUACCAGG
Long non-coding RNA from Trachemys scripta elegans, 1473 nucleotides. RefSeq lists it as uncharacterized. The transcript is spliced from 3 exons. Lineage: Eukaryota; Metazoa; Chordata; Testudines; Emydidae. The record is from RefSeq and is a predicted model, not a curated record.